This 483-nucleotide long non-coding RNA is filed under the name Salmo salar (Atlantic salmon). RNAcentral describes it as "lncRNA (ENSSSAG00000098094.1)". The record is from RNAcentral. Lineage: Eukaryota; Metazoa; Chordata; Actinopteri; Salmoniformes; Salmonidae.
UGCGAGGGAUGGGUUAUUGGCUGCGAGGGAUGGGUUAUUGGCUGCGAGGGAUGGGUUAUUGGCUGCGAGGGAAGGGUUAUUGGCUGCGAGGGAAGGGUUAUUGGCUGCGAGGGAAGGGUAAUUGGCUGCGAGGGAUGGGUUAUUGGCUGCGAGGGAAGGGUUAUUGGCUGCGAGGGAUGGGGUUAUUGGCUGCGAAGGAAGGGUUAUUGGCUGCGAGGGAAGGGUUAUUGGCUGCGAGGGAAGGGUUAUUGGCUGCGAGGGAUGGGGUUAUUGGCUGCGAGGGAAGGGUUAUUGGCUGCGAGGGAAGGGUUAUUGGCUGCGAGGGAUGGGGUUAUUGGCUGCGAGGGAUGGGGUUAUUGGCUGCGAGGGAUGGGGUUAUUGGCUGCGAGGGAUGGGGUUAUUGGCUGCGAGGGAUGGGUAAAUUGACUGCGAGGGAUGGGUUAUUGACUGCGAGGGAUGGGUAAAUUGACUGCGAGGGAUGGG